Molecule: ribosomal RNA, 672 nt
Filed under: Arthrobacter sp. WP5-OCT-2016
Lineage: Bacteria; Bacillati; Actinomycetota; Actinomycetes; Micrococcales; Micrococcaceae
Description: bacterial SSU rRNA
Rfam family: Bacterial small subunit ribosomal RNA
Source: RNAcentral
UAGGUGUGGGGGACAUUCCACGUUUUCCGCGCCGUAGCUAACGCAUUAAGUGCCCCGCCUGGGGAGUACGGCCGCAAGGCUAAAACUCAAAGGAAUUGACGGGGGCCCGCACAAGCGGCGGAGCAUGCGGAUUAAUUCGAUGCAACGCGAAGAACCUUACCAAGGCUUGACAUGGGCCAGACCGCCGCAGAAAUGUGGUUUCCCCUUUGGGGCUGGUUCACAGGUGGUGCAUGGUUGUCGUCAGCUCGUGUCGUGAGAUGUUGGGUUAAGUCCCGCAACGAGCGCAACCCUCGUUCUAUGUUGCCAGCACGUGAUGGUGGGGACUCAUAGGAGACUGCCGGGGUCAACUCGGAGGAAGGUGGGGACGACGUCAAAUCAUCAUGCCCCUUAUGUCUUGGGCUUCACGCAUGCUACAAUGGCCGGUACAAAGGGUUGCGAUACUGUGAGGUGGAGCUAAUCCCAAAAAGCCGGUCUCAGUUCGGAUUGGGGUCUGCAACUCGACCCCAUGAAGUCGGAGUCGCUAGUAAUCGCAGAUCAGCAACGCUGCGGUGAAUACGUUCCCGGGCCUUGUACACACCGCCCGUCAAGUCACGAAAGUUGGUAACACCCGAAGCCGGUGGCCUAACCCCUUGUGGGAGGGAGCUGUCGAAGGUGGGACUGGCGAUUGGGACU